GUGAAGAUUUGGGCAGGCCAUACGGACGCCAAAAAGUGUCCCUGGCCGCCUACACCCACUAUACAUCCACAAACCCGUGUGCACUGUCUUGGAGAAAGGCUUCAGAGAAGUUUUUUGUGGCCUCUCUUGGGGUCUUUCUUCGCUACAAACUCGAAUGGUUAGUAUGAACGUGGAACUUGGUUGGACCGUCACUGGCCAACAAACUAUACACAACUUU
RNAcentral lists this unclassified non-coding RNA (217 nucleotides) under uncultured Malassezia. Lineage: Eukaryota; Fungi; Basidiomycota; Malasseziomycetes; Malasseziales; Malasseziaceae. The record is from RNAcentral.